RNAcentral lists this non-coding RNA (139 nucleotides) under Dracunculus medinensis (Guinea worm). Its description in RNAcentral is "Eukaryotic small subunit ribosomal RNA". It matches the Rfam family "Eukaryotic small subunit ribosomal RNA", at positions 1184 to 1319 of the family's 1831-position model. Lineage: Eukaryota; Metazoa; Nematoda; Chromadorea; Rhabditida; Dracunculidae. The record is from Rfam by way of RNAcentral.
UGCGGCUUAAUUUGACUCAACACGGGAAAACUCACCUGGCCCGGACACCGUGAGGAUUGACAGAUUGAGAGCUCUUUCUUGAUUCGGUUUCGAUAUUUUUGUUAUAUAGCACUUUUAAAUUGUGGUUUGGCUCGCUGCA